GGCGCAAUGCCCGAGCGGUCUAAGGGGAGUGAUUAGAACUCGUUUCUUGACAUCACUUAUGCAUUGCAUGCGUUGGUUCAAAUCCAGCUUGCGUCG
Filobasidium floriforme is the source of this 96-nucleotide non-coding RNA. The record is from the annotation of a RefSeq genome assembly. NCBI's taxonomy places the organism in Eukaryota, Fungi, Basidiomycota, Tremellomycetes, Filobasidiales, Filobasidiaceae.